GGCUUCAUGGUGAGAGUGAUCUGGGAUCAUUGGCUUUGUUAUUUUAUUUUACUCAUUUGUAUUUGGGACAUGUGUUAAACUUUAUUUUGGGAUGACUGUAUAAAUGCUUUUAAACCUCUUCUGAUAUUUAGAUUGUAUUUUAAAUUCUGGUACUUUGUUGACUA
Juglans microcarpa x Juglans regia is the source of this 164-nucleotide long non-coding RNA. RefSeq lists it as uncharacterized. The record is from RefSeq and is a predicted model, not a curated record. The transcript is spliced from 3 exons. Lineage: Eukaryota; Viridiplantae; Streptophyta; Magnoliopsida; Fagales; Juglandaceae.